AACGAACGCUGGCGGCGUGCCUAACACAUGCAAGUCGAACGAGAUCUUCGGGUCUAGUGGCGCACGGGUGCGUAACGCGUGGGAAUCUGCCCUUUGGUUCGGAAUAACAGUUGGAAACGACUGCUAAUACUGGAUGAUGACGAAAGUCCAAAGAUUUAUCGCCAGAGGAUGAGCCCGCGUAGGAUUAGCUAGUUGGUGUGGUAAAGGCGCACCAAGGCGACGAUCCUUAGCCGGUCUGAGAGGAUGAUCAGCCACACUGGGACUGAGACACGGCCCAGACUCCUACGGGAGGCAGCAGUGGGGAAUAUUGGACAAUGGGCGAAAGCCUGAUCCAGCAAUGCCGCGUGAGUGAUGAAGGCCUUAGGGUUGUAAAGCUCUUUUACCCGGGAUGAUAAUGACAGUACCGGGAGAAUAAGCUCCGGCCAACUCCGUGCCAGCCGCCGCAGUAA
This 449-nucleotide ribosomal RNA is filed under the name uncultured bacterium. Its description in RNAcentral is "partial 16S ribosomal RNA". It matches the Rfam family "Bacterial small subunit ribosomal RNA", at positions 29 to 523 of the family's 1533-position model. The record is from RNAcentral.